This 497-nucleotide ribosomal RNA is filed under the name uncultured bacterium. Its description in RNAcentral is "partial 16S ribosomal RNA". It matches the Rfam family "Bacterial small subunit ribosomal RNA", at positions 28 to 507 of the family's 1533-position model. The record is from RNAcentral.
GAUGAACGCUGGCGGCGUGCCUAAUACAUGCAAGUCGAGCGAACAGACGAGGAGCUUGCUCCUCUGAAGUUAGCGGCGGACGGGUGAGUAACACGUGGAUAACCUACCUAUAAGACUGGGAUAACUUCGGGAAACCGGAGCUAAUACCGGAUAAUAUAUUGAACCGCAUGGUUCAAUAGUGAAAGACGGUUUUGCUGUCACUUAUAGAUGGAUCCGCGCCGCAUUAGCUAGUUGGUAAGGUAACGGCUUACCAAGGCAACGAUGCGUAGCCGACCUGAGAGGGUGAUCGGCCACACUGGAACUGAGACACGGUCCAGACUCCUACGGGAGGCAGCAGUAGGGAAUCUUCCGCAAUGGGCGAAAGCCUGACGGAGCAACGCCGCGUGAGUGAUGAAGGUCUUCGGAUCGUAAAGCUCUGUUAUUAGGGAAGAACAAAUGUGUAAGUAACUAUGCACGUCUUGACGGUACCUAAUCAGAAAGCCACGGCUAACUACGUG